UUCGGUCAUGUCAUGUUCAAACACCGGUUCUUGUACGAUCACCAAAGUUAAACAACGUCGAGCCUGGUCAAUACCUGAAUGGGUGACCGCUUGGGAAUACCAGGUGUUAUAA
Non-coding RNA from Acanthosepion pharaonis, 112 nucleotides. The record is from the annotation of a GenBank genome assembly. Lineage: Eukaryota; Metazoa; Mollusca; Cephalopoda; Sepiida; Sepiidae.